This 263-nucleotide ribosomal RNA is filed under the name uncultured bacterium. Its description in RNAcentral is "partial 16S ribosomal RNA". It matches the Rfam family "Bacterial small subunit ribosomal RNA", at positions 793 to 1055 of the family's 1533-position model. The record is from RNAcentral.
GUCCACGCUGUAAACGAUGAAAACUGGCUGUGCGGGACGUCAAGUUCUGCGUAGCGAAGCUAACGCGUUAAGUUUUCCGCCUGGGGAGUACGGUCGCAAGAUUAAAACUCAAAGGAAUUGACGGGGGCCCGCACAAGCGGUGGAGCAUGUGGUUUAAUUCGAUGCAACGCGAAGAACCUUACCUACCCUUGACAUCCCUCGAAUCCUGCUGAGAGGCGGGAGUGCCGAAAGGAAUGAGGAGACAGGUGCUGCAUGGCUGUCGU